This 494-nucleotide ribosomal RNA is filed under the name uncultured bacterium. RNAcentral describes it as "partial 16S ribosomal RNA". It matches the Rfam family "Bacterial small subunit ribosomal RNA", at positions 28 to 507 of the family's 1533-position model. The record is from RNAcentral.
GACGAACGCUGGCGGCGUGCUUAACACAUGCAAGUCGAACGGUGAAGCGCCUUCCUUUUUGGUGGGUGUGGAUGAGUGGCGAACGGGUGAGUAACACGUGAGUAACCUGCCCCCUUCUUCUGGAUAACCGCAUGAAAGUGUGGCUAAUACGGGAUAUUCUGGGUCUGUCUCAUGCUGGGUCUGGGAAAGUUAUUGUUUCGGUGGGGGAUGGGCUCGCGGCCUAUCAGCUUGUUGGUGGGGUGAUGGCCUACCGAGGCGGGGACGGGUAGCCGGCCUGAGAGGGUUGACUGUCAGACUGGGGAGGAGAAACGGCCAAGCCUGGAAUGGGAGGCAGCAGUGAGGAAUAUGGGACGAUGGGGGGAAGAAUAAUGCAGCGACGCCGCGUGAGUGAUGGAGGCCUUCGGGGUGUGAACCUCUUUCGCCAGUGAAGCAGGGCUGCCUCGUCUGUGGGUAGGUUGACGGUAGCUGGAGAAGAAGCUCCGGCUAACUACGUG